Molecule: long non-coding RNA, 426 nt
Organism: Ruditapes philippinarum (Manila clam)
Lineage: Eukaryota; Metazoa; Mollusca; Bivalvia; Venerida; Veneridae
Exons: 3
Source: RefSeq, a predicted model, not a curated record
ACAUAGAUUUCCAGUCAUUGUGAAAGCUGAGAAUGAACAUCAGGAAGAUUUAUUAGAGAUUUUGGAGGGAAAUGAAGUCGAAGGAGGACAAAAUGAGCUACGUGUAGAUGUAAUACAACAAGAAAAUGUUGGGCAACAACAAGUUUACCUUAUAGGCUUAGGACAAGGAGGGGAGGCAGCUUAUUUACAGGAAACACAAGUGAUUGAAGGUCCUGAUGGCACAAGAUAUAUUAUAGCAGGAUCAGGCGAGGAACUACAAGUUAUUGAGUCUUCUAACUUACAAGUUACUGAGCAUGUUCAGGAGGGUGAGAUUGUAGAGGGAGGAGUUAUACAGCAGAUACAACAAGUGGAACAUAUUAAGGAUUCUAGAAGUGGAAAUAUUUUGAUCAUUAACGAUGGUGUAGAACAGACAUAAAGUACAUUGGC